Molecule: ribosomal RNA, 484 nt
Filed under: uncultured bacterium
Lineage: Bacteria
Description: bacterial SSU rRNA
Rfam family: Bacterial small subunit ribosomal RNA
Source: RNAcentral
AGCGAACGUUAGCGGCGGGCCUAACACAUGCAAGUCGAGCGAGAAAGCGGACUUCGGUCCGUGAGUAAAGCGGCAGACGGGUGAGUAACACGUGGGUAAUCUGCCCUCUGGCGGGGGAUAACAGUCCGAAAGGAUUGCUAAUACCGCAUACGUCGGCGAGCUCUUCGGAGCUCGUCGGGAAAGCGUGCCUCUGUUCACAAGCACGCACCGGAGGAGGAGCCCGCGUCGCAUCAGCUAGUUGGUGAGGCAACGGCUCACCAAGGCGAAGACGCGUAGCUGGUCUGAGAGGAUGAUCAGCCACACUGGGACUGAGACACGGCCCAGACUCCUACGGGAGGCAGCAGUGGGGAAUAUUGGGCAAUGGGCGCAAGCCUGACCCAGCCACGCCGCGUGAGUGAUGAAGGCCUUCGGGUCGUAAAGCUCUGUGGGAGGGACGGAAGAAGGCGCGUGAAAUACACGUCGUCGGUGACGGUACCUCCUUAGC